Molecule: RNA transcript, 2073 nt
Organism: Zea mays
Lineage: Eukaryota; Viridiplantae; Streptophyta; Magnoliopsida; Poales; Poaceae
Gene name: myosin pseudogene
Exons: 9
Source: RefSeq, marked validated
CUCCCAUCACCUCCAUCGCAACCUCUCGACGGCAGACUAGGUUUCAUCCCCAUCUCAACCGGCGGCAGCCUAGGGCUUCAUCCCCCACCCCCAAAUCCAUGCCGCUCAGGUUGGAGAUCAAUGUGUGCCUGCUCGACCUCACUGGAUCUCAGUCCCCAUGUCGUCCUUCUACUUCUCGCGUCACUUUGAUUUUGCUCUCUAGUUUGAUUUUGUUUCCAUUGUGGUGAUUAGUGGAAAUUUUCUCAAUGGUCAGAGAGGGUCAAGUUGGUGGACUUGCACCCCACGGAGGCAUGGAUGUUGAGCCUGUACUCGAGGAGUGCCUGCAUCCGGGAUUAUCACACACAGUCAAUUUGUAGGAGAGGGGACGCCAUACAUCAAAGAUGACUAAAGAAGAGGAAGAUGAAGAAUACCUCGAAGAGGAAGAAGAUGCCCUUGCUGGUGCAGGGGGGAACACAUUUAGUUUCACAACCUUCAUGCUCUUAACCCCUCUGAUCCUGGUGCGUGGCAGAUUAGACUCCGAUGGGGAAGUCACUAGCGAGGUGGAUCAAGUUCGUGCUCUUCAGGAAGAAGUCGUCAUCCAGGUCCAGCUCCACCAAGGCCAAGAAUUUAUCGAUAAGAAUGCUGUUACGAUUUCAAGUGUGGCUCUACAUAUGCAUCUCCAGCUAUGGAGAAGGAGCCCACGUUCUCUGAGAGCUCUCCAGUGAUCUCAGAGCUUGUGCUUGUUAGCGCCCAUAACAACGAGAUCAUGCGGGAGGUGGCAAAGGGUGAAAAUUCUAGCGUGCAAGAAGUGCUAGUGACUGAUGUCAGUCAAGACUUGGAGAAGCAGGUAGUGUGGGGCUGAUACGUCCAAUAAUGCGCUAGUGACUGAUGUCAGUCAAGACUUGGAGAAGCAGGCAGUGUGGGGCUGAUACAUCCAAUGAUGCUGAGAGGGUGAGUGAACAGCGAGCGGUCAUGAUGGCACAAGCUACCUUCCCUUAUUAUCUGAUGAUUUUGGAUUCAAGCUGAAAGAAGAGGCUAUGCUGAAUAAAGUACUAAAGGAGACAGUCUUGUCAAAGGUAGUUGCCAUUGAUAAAUUGCAAUCUGGUCUGGCAUCUUCACUUCGCAUCCAAGAUGUUAUGAGAAAUGAGAUCCAAAGAGUCCAGGAUGAACUUUCUUGCAUAACCCACAAAGCUAAGCAGUUGGAGCUUCAGGUAUCCAAGAUGGAUGAGUCAAUCGAUGAGAUCCAAUAGGAUUUCUAGGAAUCUACGAAGGAGCUGGCUGCUCUUCGUGGAACACUGAAAACGGUGAUUGAAGACAGGGACCUGUCGUGGCAGGAGGUGAAGUAGCUGAGAAGAAACAUCAGCAUCAUGCUAGAACGAGGUUGUGUCGCUGAAGAAGAUCGAAGCCUUGGACAAAGACAUACUUGUCAAGGAGGGAGAGAUCACGAUAUUGCAGGACAACAUCGACAAGCCGUUCAAUAUCAUCUGCAGCCCAAGUUCGAUGCAGGAGUUCGGCAUGGGGUGAAGAUGGCUGCUAUUUUGUUGACAUGGAAGAAAUGGUGGCAGCACCAGCUUAGUAUGGACAACAACUGAAAUCUCCUACAGAAGUUGUUUCUAAUGUGCUAUUGAGCUCCAUUGUGUUUUGGCCUACGCAAUCUUGUUCUCCAGUCUGCCUCCAAGAAAAGCUCUAUAGUCCCAUAGUUUCUGCUAAGGUUCAACAACUUCAGGAUCAAUUAUAGGCUGAGAAGCAAGAAAAAAUGGACUUCGUGAUGAAGCGGAAACCAUUGAUAGUAUGAAGAGGUUGAUGGAAGAAAAUAACAACCUUCUUCGUCAACUAUAAAGCUUCAAUUGAAGAAAAGUGCCUCCAUCUUAAGUUUGGUUGACUACUAUAGGACAUGCAGCCUUGUGGUAGCUAUAGUAGUAGUAGAUAUUUAUAGUUGCUCUAGAUUUGAAGUUAUAGGAUUAUUUUUAAUUAUGUUUAAUGUUUAAUAAUUUGAGUUGAAGUUAUAAGAUUUGCUUUGAAUUUUAAGUUAAAGGAUUUGAGAUAUAUGGUUUGGAGUUAUAUGAUUAUUUGAUGGAUGGAAUAUUUGUGUAC